RNAcentral lists this ribosomal RNA (232 nucleotides) under uncultured Pseudomonas sp. Its description in RNAcentral is "partial 16S ribosomal RNA". It matches the Rfam family "Bacterial small subunit ribosomal RNA", at positions 1152 to 1382 of the family's 1533-position model. The record is from RNAcentral. Lineage: Bacteria; Pseudomonadati; Pseudomonadota; Gammaproteobacteria; Pseudomonadales; Pseudomonadaceae.
CCGGUGGACAAACCGGAGGAAGGUGGGGAUGACGUCAAGUCAUCAUGGCCCUUACGGCCUGGGCUACACACGUGCUACAAUGGUCGGUACAAAGGGUUGCCAAGCCGGCGAGGUGGAGCUAAUCCCAUAAACCGAUCGUAGUCCGGAUCGCAGUCUGCAACUCGACUGCGUGAAGUCGGAAUCGCUAGUAAUCGUGAAUCAGAAUGUCACGGUGAAUACGUUCCCGGGCCUU